CAGUAGCCGCGGGAAUACGAAGGGGGCUAGCGUUGUUCGGAAUUACUGGGCGUAAAGGGCGCGUAGGCGGCCAUUCAAGUUAGAUGUGAAAGCCCUGGGCUCAACCUAGGAAUUGCAUUUGAUACUGUUUGGCUUGAGUUCGGGAGAGGUGGGUGGAAUUCCCAGUGUAGAGGUGAAAUUCGUAGAUAUUGGGAAGAACACCAGUGGCGAAGGCGGCUCACUGGACCGACACUGACGCUGAGGCGCGAAAGCGGGGGAGCAAACAGGAUUAGAGACCCCUGUAGUCCCUGUCUCUUAUACA
This 301-nucleotide ribosomal RNA is filed under the name uncultured bacterium. Its description in RNAcentral is "partial 16S ribosomal RNA". It matches the Rfam family "Bacterial small subunit ribosomal RNA", at positions 509 to 808 of the family's 1533-position model. The record is from RNAcentral.